GUGGGGCAUCCCACGGGUGUUAAAAGGAAGCGAUUCCGGCGGAGGAUGGGCAUGCGGCGCAUUAGCUAGUUGGCGGGGUAACGGCCCACCAAGGCGACGAUGCGUAGGGGUUCUGAGAGGAAGGUCCCCCACACUGGUACUGAGACACGGACCAGACUCCUACGGAAGGCAGCAG
Molecule: ribosomal RNA, 175 nt
Filed under: uncultured bacterium
Lineage: Bacteria
Description: partial 16S ribosomal RNA
Rfam family: Bacterial small subunit ribosomal RNA
Source: RNAcentral